UCUGUGUUGCCAGCAUUUAGUUGGGGACUCACAGGAGACUGCCGGGGUUAACUCGGAGGAAGGUGGGGAUGACGUCAAAUCAUCAUGCCCCUUAUGUCUUGGGCUGCACGCAUGCUACAAUGGCUGGUACAAACGGCUGCAAUACCGCAAGGUGGAGCGAAUCCGAGAAAGCCAGUCUCAGUUCGGAUUGGGGUCUGCAACUCGACCCCAUGAAGUCGGAGUUGCUAGUAAUCGUAGAUCAGCAACGCUACGGUGAAUACGUUCCCGGGUCUUGUACACACCGAAU
RNAcentral lists this ribosomal RNA (286 nucleotides) under uncultured freshwater bacterium. Its description in RNAcentral is "partial 16S ribosomal RNA". It matches the Rfam family "Bacterial small subunit ribosomal RNA", at positions 1109 to 1395 of the family's 1533-position model. The record is from RNAcentral.